This is a long non-coding RNA of Xiphophorus hellerii (green swordtail), 790 nucleotides long. RefSeq lists it as uncharacterized. Lineage: Eukaryota; Metazoa; Chordata; Actinopteri; Cyprinodontiformes; Poeciliidae. The transcript is spliced from 4 exons. The record is from RefSeq and is a predicted model, not a curated record.
UAUUUGGAAAUGGGACGAUUGCAUUCCGGAAAUGAAGGGGGCGCUAUUUUCAUAAUCACUAGUAUAAAUACCUUAAGACGCGGGGUUAAGAGGAAAGGAAGAAGAAAGAAAGAAGUUUGAGAGGUUCUUCCACUGGUGUUCGGCACACGAUCACGGAUCAAUGCAAAACUCACAAAGUCAACAAAAGAUCGACGUAUCUAUUUGCAACAUUCGGAACGGAGAGAAGAUUCUUCCGUAUUGCAUGAAAGAUAAAUAUUUCUGUCCCCUUUGCUAAUACAAGCUACAGAACCAUUUAGCACAAACUGCUAUGGUUCAACAUAACGAUGCCUCUGAAUGUUCUUGAAGCUGUUCUCCAGGAGGUGAUACCAGCACAGGGAGACUCAGCUUACCUCACCUUGGCAUUGACCUGCAAGUGCUUUGAAGCCGUUGUGUCUGACCCAGUUUUCAGGAAGAAGACUCACUUUGCUUGGCUGGAUGGUGAGAUCAACUGGGGCAAAUUUUCAAAAACAUUCAAGGCAGAAAACCGGAUUCCUUUUGCGGUUGUAACGUGUUUUUCCUGCCACCGGUAAUAUAAAGACUGUGGGCUUCACCGGCGAUGGAAGACGAGGAGAGUACCCUGGUUACAGCCAGUGCAGUGGACACUGCACUGGCUGUCAAUACUGAAUGCAAGGAGAACAUUAGUUAAAGACUGAGGUCUUUCACACAUUUCAGUUGUCACACAUUGUUCGUUUUUUUUGUGACAUGCCAUUUUAAAUCAUUUCUGCUAAAGAAUAUUUGCCUUUUGACUUGU